GAUGAACGCUGGCGGCGUGCCUAAUACAUGCAAGUCGAGCGGACGGACGAGAAGCUUGCUUCUCUGAUGUUAGCGGCGGACGGGUGAGUAACACGUGGAUAACCUACCUAUAAGACUGGGAUAACUUCGGGAAACCGGAGCUAAUACCGGAUGAUAUUUUGAACCGCAUGGUUCAAAAGUGAAAGACGGUCUUGCUGUCACUUAUAGAUGGAUCCGCGCUGCAUUAGCUAGUUGGUAAGGUAACGGCUUACCAAGGCAACGAUGCAUAGCCGACCUGAGAGGGUGAUCGGCCACACUGGAACUGAGACACGGUCCAGACUCCUACGGGAGGCAGCAGUAGGGAAUCUUCCGCAAAGGGCGAAAGCCUGACGGAGCGACGCCGCGUGAGUGAUGAAGGUCUUCGGAUCGUAAAACUCUGUUAUUAGGGAAGAACAUAUGUGUAAGUAACUGUGCACAUCUUGACGGUACCUAAUCAGAAAGCCACGGCUAACUACGUG
RNAcentral lists this ribosomal RNA (497 nucleotides) under uncultured bacterium. RNAcentral describes it as "partial 16S ribosomal RNA". It matches the Rfam family "Bacterial small subunit ribosomal RNA", at positions 28 to 507 of the family's 1533-position model. The record is from RNAcentral.